UAAUUUUAACCUAAACCCUAUUGCAUAAGUUUACUGUUUUAACCCUUAUGCUCACACCUAAUCUCCUAUUUUCAUGAACAACCCUAAUGCUACUCUUUUAACCCUAAUGCUCACACCUAAUCUCCUAUUUUCAUGAACAACCCUAAUGUUCAUACCUAAUCUCCUAUUUCAUGAACAAAACAAAUCGGCAUCGCUUUAUUUCCCUUAUUUAUUCAAAAUAAAUCACCCUAUUUCUUCAACAAAACAAAUCGCCCUAUUGGAAUAAAAGGGUUUUGAAAGAUUAUAGCAACAUUUUUUUUUUGUUAAUAUUACACUUUUCAUCCAAAUUAGAACUGAACUCUCUUUGUUAAAUAUCUAAUCUCCUAUUUCAUGAACAAAACAAAUCGGCAUCGCUUUAUUUCCCCUAUUUCUUCAAAACAAAUCGCCCUAUUUCUUCAACAAAACAAAUCGCCCUAUUGGAAUAAAAGGGUUUUGAAUGAUUAUAUCAACAUUUUU
Molecule: long non-coding RNA, 495 nt
Filed under: Medicago truncatula (barrel medic)
Lineage: Eukaryota; Viridiplantae; Streptophyta; Magnoliopsida; Fabales; Fabaceae
Description: long non-coding RNA (MTRU_LNC002189)
Source: RNAcentral